UACCAAACGAUCUCUACAUGUUUGGUUUAAUAUAGAGGAGAUGUUAUAUUUCACAUUCCUCAUAAGAGAUUAAACUAAGAUUGGAUUUUUCUCUUCUUACUAAAUGACUUUGAUAUGGGCAAUUCUAGUGGUUGCUCUAUCUGUAUAUGCCUUGUAUGAGCUGCUAAACAUUCACAAGAGACAAAGGUAUCCUCCAGGUCCAACAGGGCUUCCCAUUUUAGGACAUCUUCAUUUGUUAGGCAAAAAUCCACACAAAGAUUUACAAAAACUAGCGAAGAAACAUGGUCCUAUUAUGUAUGUGCAACUGGGGCUAGUACCUACAAUCGUUGCCUCGUCCGUUGAUGCAGCCGAGAAGGUCCUCAAGACAUAUGAUCACAUCUUUGCUAAUAGGCCUCAUCAUGAGGCAUCUCAACAUUUAGCUUAUGGCCAAAAGAAUUUGGUAUUUGCAAAGUAUGAUGUGUAUUGGCGCAACAUACGAAAAUUGUGCACAGUGCACCUUUUGAGCAAUCAAAAGAUCCAUUCAUUUCAAUCCAUGAGAAAACAACAAGUUGAACUUCUUAUUCAGUUGCUUAAAAAGGAAGCUCGUGAUCGUGUAGUUGUUGAUCUUAGUGCAAAUAUUACGUCCUUGAAUGCUAACUUGACUUGCUUAAUAGUGUUUGGAAAGAAGUACAUGGAUGGGGACUUGGACAAAAGGGGAUUCAAAGCUAUUGUUCAAGAUGUUGUGCAUUUAUCAGCAACACCAAAUCUUGGUGAUUUUUUCCCCUUCCUUGGUGCUAUUGAUCUCCAGGGUAUCACUCGCAAGCUCAAGGAUCUUUCAAAGGUGUUUGAUGAGUUCCUUGAGAAGAUUAUUGAUGAACACGUUAACCCUCAUGAACAUAAGCAAAACAAGGACUUUGUCGACACCAUGAUGGACAUAAUGCAAUCUGGAGAAGCAAAGUUUCAGUUUGAUCGUCGUCACAUAAAAGCUAUCCUCUUUGACAUGCUUAUAGCUGCAAUGGACACUACAGCAUCAUCAACGGAAUGGAUACUCACCGAACUUCUUAGGCACCCCCAAGUGACGAAGAAACUCCAAAAGGAGUUGCAACAAGUGGUAGGCCUCGAUAGAAUGGUGGAAGAAUCCGACCUGGCGAAUUUAAACUACUUAGACAUGGUUGUCAAAGAGGGCCUGAGGCUGCAUCCUGUAGCACCACUAUUUUAUCAUGAGUCCAUGGAAGACUGUGUAGUCGAUGGUUUCCACGUACAAAAGGGAUCCCGAAUCAUAAUAAAUUGCUACGCGAUUCAUAGAGAUCCAAACAUUUGGCCUGAGCCUGAGAAGUUUUUACCUGAGAGAUUUGUUGGGAGCAGUGUAGAUUUUCGUGGACGUGACUUCCAACUUCUACCAUUUGGCUCUGGGAGAAGAAGCUGCCCUGGAAUGCAGUUGGCAGUUACCAUCGUCCGCCUUGUGGUGGCACAAUUGGUGCAUUGCUUUGAGUGGGAGCUUCCAAAUGGUAUUCAGCCUUGUGAUUUAGACAUUGAUGAGAAGUUUGGGAUAGUGAGAAAAGCCUUUGCUGGCUAUUCCUACUUAUAGACUAAAGAAAUGAUGCAAAUACAAUGCAUAUAGUAAAAGAUCAACUUUACAUUUUGUUACAAGCAACAUUGAAAGUUUCUAGUAUAUGAUUUUGUAAUUGUUGUGUGCUUCCCCUGCUAAUCUACAAUAUACCUAAUUGAAUAUGUA
RNA transcript from Solanum stenotomum, 1714 nucleotides. It is a transcript of the gene named cytochrome P450 71AU50-like, with no coding region annotated. NCBI's taxonomy places the organism in Eukaryota, Viridiplantae, Streptophyta, Magnoliopsida, Solanales, Solanaceae. The transcript has 2 exons. The record is from RefSeq and is a predicted model, not a curated record.